RNAcentral lists this ribosomal RNA (420 nucleotides) under bacterium. RNAcentral describes it as "partial 16S ribosomal RNA". It matches the Rfam family "Bacterial small subunit ribosomal RNA", at positions 355 to 776 of the family's 1533-position model. The record is from RNAcentral.
UGGGGGAUAUUGCACAAUGGGCGAAAGCCUGAUGCAGCGACGCCGCGUGGGGGAUGAAGGCUUUCGGGUUGUAAACCUCUUUCGCUAUCGAACAAGGCCCGCUUAGGGUGGGUUGAGGGUAGGUGGAGAAGAAGCGCCGGCUAACUACGUGCCAGCAGCCGCGGUAAUACGUAGGGCGCGAGCGUUGUCCGGAAUUAUUGGGCGUAAAGGGCUUGUAGGCGGCUUGUUGCGCCUGCUGUGAAAACGCGGGGCUUAACUUCGCGCGUGCAGUGGGUACGGGCAGGCUUGAGUGUGGUAGGGGGGACUGGAAUUCCAGGUGUAGCGGUGGAAUGCGCAGAUAUCUGGAGGAACACCGAUGGCGAAGGCAGGUCACUGGGCCAUUACUGACGCUGAGGAGCGAAAGCAUGGGUAGCGAACAGG